CUCUAUAGACCAGGUUGGCCUUGAACUCACAGAGAUCCACCAGCCUCUGCCUCCCGAGUGCUGGGAUUAAAGGCAUGUGCCACCAACACCUGGCUUCCCAAUAGAUUUCUUACCAUUGCAUUCAGUUUCUACUGAUGAUCUUGACCUAAAAUUAAUUAUCAAAAUGAUGACUGAAAAAUCAGCAAUUCUUCUGUAACAUUGCCUGGACCUCAGGAACUCCUCAUUUUUAUGUAGGACAUUAUAACCUAUCACAGUUAAUUUUGAUAUCCUCACACCAGUAGGGUGGCUCUUAACAUCUUUCUAUGAUGUCCAUACCUGACACCCAUUCUUUGAGAACCAUCUUUUCACUGAGUCAUGGUAGAUUUUUGUUUGUGUUUCUAAGACAGCAGUAAUUAAGGACCAAAGUCUGAGUGCCCAGUAUGCUGUGAGGUAAAAUUUCUUCUAUACCCAUUCAUUAGCACAACCAGCAAACAUUUCUAAAUCAAAUUAUUCUCUACAAAUAAGAAAAUGUUAAUAAGAAAAUAGCUUAAUAGAAAAAUGUAGAAUUCUAAGAUGCAGGAAACUACAGAACAGCGUGAGAAAGGUUGGACAGAUAAUCUAUACAGUCCUAACUAUUCUUAAGCCAUGUGAAAGCUAAGAUUCCAAGACAACAAGUGCAUUGAAUGAUGAAGAGCAGCGACUCCAGCGGGUCGUGAGAAAAAAUUCACCUGUCGCAGAGCAUGGAUGAAAGAUACAGCCAGCAUUUAAACAAGUACAGAAAUCAGCCAUCUGAAGUACUUUAUGAGUCUGUUUUUCUUUUAAAAGGCAGGGUUUCAUGUAGUAAAGGUUUGCUCAACUUGCUGUGUAGCUGAGGAUGACCUUGAACCCUUCAUCCUUGUGCUACUACAGAGGGUUGGGAUUAUAGGCAUACAGCGCAAUGUCUCGCUUCAGGGGCUCUUCUAAUGCUCAAAACAACCAUAGACAGAUGGAUUUCUUGAAUAGGUGGAGGAAUUAAAACCAGAUAUAACUGUAUCAGGAAGUGGUAUCAAAAGAUGACAUCAUAUAUUUAAUGCUACUGAAUUGCAGACUUAGAAUGACCAAUGACCACAGUUGUAAAUUACAUAUCAUGAGGUCCUAGGGAUUAAACCCCAACACGUAAACACACAUUCUAACAUUUGUUUAUUAUACCUUCAGCCCCAAUUACAAUGGUAAUUAAAGUGGGGAUCAUAUGCACAUUAAUUAGUGGUAACAGAAUCAUGCAUAGUGCUUUUCUGGGGACAGGAGGAGAAAAAGAAUGCCAUGUUCAACAUAAUCCCAUGGGAACUAUUUAAACUUUGUUUUCCUCGGGGUGUGCUUAUUCCUCUGAUAACUUUUUCAAAAUCUGAAGGAAAGGUUUUACCUUGAUCUGCAAGACAUCGAGUGGGACCGUCUCUCCUUUCACAAUGGCGAGUGUGGCGUCCGUGAUGUGUCUAAAUGGGAAAAAUGGAAAGAAUCCCGUUGUAAAAGGAUUACAAGGAUGUUCUUCAAGCUUCAUUUUCACUGCUGAUUGUUUCAGUCAAGGCACCAGACUAUUCUUACCCACAUUCUGACAAUCUAUUGAAAAAUCUAUAUGAAAAAAUUAAAAACUCACUGAUGCGUCUACUAUGUAUUACACAUCCAGGGCAUAUAAAAUUAUGCCAGAUCUGCAAACAAGCCUAGAGUUUGUACUUUAAAUUCAAAGCCAGACAUAUGUAAAUACAUGACAUAUGGUCAACAAGAAAACAUUAAGCCAAGUGGCGAGACAUUGAAAUAUCUGCCCCCCAUGAGAAGAGUAGAGCACUACAGAGAAACCCUGUCUCGAAAAACCACAAAAUUAAUUAAUUGAUUAACUAAUUAAACAAAAAAAAAACAGUCUGUACUGUGUGCUUAUUAGCACCAUCAUCUGCCUCCUCCUGGAGAACAAACACUCCCCAAAGUACCCGACCAAUGAAAACUCUCCAUCAGCACAAUGCAUGCCAAAUAACAGGCAGGCAGUAUUCGCUUAGAUAUCUAUUCUCUAGAAUUUCAAGCACACAAACUGCAGAGAACUCCUGAAUUAUUUCUCACUCAGACCUAACAAUUAUUAACUCGUGACAAACAUUACUUCUUCACAUUACCCUGUAAGCCACUAGUCAAUAAAAGCAAAUCUGAAUCCUUAAUAGAUCAUUAUGUAUCUGCAAAAGAGACAAGAAAUACUAUUAUUAUACCUAAAAUAUUGACCCACUGUGUAUCAACAUAUUUAGUCUGUUCUCAAGUUUUAAAUAAAUACUUCCUUUGUUCAAGUCAAGGUUCAAACAAGA
Molecule: long non-coding RNA, 2297 nt
Organism: Mesocricetus auratus (golden hamster)
Lineage: Eukaryota; Metazoa; Chordata; Mammalia; Rodentia; Cricetidae
Exons: 2
Source: RefSeq, a predicted model, not a curated record